This 22-nucleotide microRNA is filed under the name Ornithorhynchus anatinus (platypus). Its description in RNAcentral is "oan-miR-7417-3p". Lineage: Eukaryota; Metazoa; Chordata; Mammalia; Monotremata; Ornithorhynchidae. The record is from miRBase by way of RNAcentral.
UGUGUGCUCAGAGGGGGCAAUC